GCAACUCAGUGUGACAGGCUGGUGUCGGUAGCGGGUAUUCUAUUCACUACUUGUAUUGUCUGUACGCGCAGCUUCUGCUUCUGUCAGUUUUGUUUGCUGCUCGGCCACACGCUCGUCUUUGGAAGCAGCAGCCUUAACCACCUGGGAUUUGUUUUUUUUUGCUUCCAGCCUGUCAGAAAAGAUAAAUGAAAUAAAUGGGUGCCCUAUAUUUCCUGGUUAAAAAAAUCAGCUUUCUUUUUGUUUUCUUGAAUAAGAUUCUGGCGGGCCAGGAUGGACUCCUCACGGUUUAGCUUGCCUUCCAGGCUCCAGUAUUCUAUCUCCGCCAGCUGCUGCUCCAGUUAUUUUUCCCGCAACAGAUUCUGCCAUUCUAGGAAAUGUGGGGUCCCGGGCCUCUAUUCUUCAAAAAAAAGGAGCUUGGCACAAUGUUGUCGUUACUGGAAUCAGACCGUGGAUUAACAUCCCACCUGUCGCAGCGAUCCUGACACCCAUUAUCAAGAGCAACAUCUGUGGGAGAUUGUACAGAUACAGUGUUUCAGCUAUUAUAAUAAAAACCUGUGUCAGCUAAA
Xenopus laevis (African clawed frog) is the source of this 566-nucleotide long non-coding RNA. RefSeq lists it as uncharacterized. The transcript is spliced from 4 exons. The record is from RefSeq and is a predicted model, not a curated record. Lineage: Eukaryota; Metazoa; Chordata; Amphibia; Anura; Pipidae.